GCAAGCUUCAUUGUCGAGAGGGAAACAGCCCAGACCGUCGUCUAAGGUCCCAAGGUUCUGGCUAAGUGGUUAACGAGGUGAGAUUGCUCAGACAAUCAGGAGGUUGGCUUAGAAGCAGCCAUCCUUUAAACAGUGCGUAAUAGCUGACUGAUCGAGUGAUCUCGCGCGGAAAAUUCAACGGGGCUCAAGCCAGGCACCGAAGACACGGAUUCAUUGACUCCUGGUCAGUGAGUGGUAGGGGAGCGUCGGGUAGUAGGUCGAAGGUUGAGCGUAAGCGCAGCUGGACGAACCCCGAGUGCGAAUCCAGGAAUGAGUAGCGAAAAGCAAAGUGAGAAUCUUUGCCGCCGAAAACCCGAGGUUUCAGGAGCAAGGUUCGUCCUCUCCUGGUUAGGCGGGCCUAAGCCGAGGCCGAAAGGCGUAGGCGAUGGGCAGACGGUUGAAAUUCCGUCCCCACUGACAACAGUUAUCCGGUGUAGUGCGUCGGUUGGUUAGCCUACUUCCUAUAUGGAAGACGGCCUCUAUAGGCGUAAGCUGAAGGGAGGUCGCGAGAUCUUAGAUCGUAGUGGUGAAACCUAAACGGCCCAGAAAAGCUACAACGUAUGUUGUCGGUGCCCGUACCGCAAACCGACACAGGUGGGUGAGGAGAGUAUCCUCAGGCGCGCGAGAGAACCCACGUUAAGGAACUCGGCAAUCUGUUCCCGUAACUUUGGAAGAAGGGAAGCCCAAUUAUCGUGAAGGGACUUGCUCCCGGAGCGAGAAGGGGCCGCAGAGAAUCGGCUCAAGCGACUGUUUACCAAAAACAUAGGUCUCUGCUAAGCCGUAAGGCGACGUAUAGGGGCUGAUGCCUGCCCAAUGCCGGAAUGUCACGGGGAGAGGUUAGGGGCAACCCGAAGCUUUGAACCUAAGCACCGGUCAAUGGCGGCCGUAACUAUAACGGUCCUAAGGUAGCGAAAUUCCUUGUCGGGUAAGUUCCGACCUGCACGAAUGGCAUAACGACUUGAGCGCUGUCUCAACGUGGGACUCGGCGAAAUUGUAUUACGAGUGAAGAUGCUCGUUUAUCAUAGUAAGACGGAAAGACCCUGUGGAGCUUUACUGUAGCUUGUCAUUGAGUCGUUGGAUUAAAUGCAGAGGAUAGGUAGGAGCCGAUGAGGCGUCCCUUUCGGGGGGCGCGGAGGCGACGGUGGAAUACUACCCUUUUAAUCUGACGGCUCUAACCAACCCCGUUAUCCGGGUUUGGAACCGUGGCAGGCGGGCAGUUUGACUGGGGCGGUCGCCUCCUAAACGGUAACGGAGGCGUUCAAAGGUCCACUCAGGACGGUUGGCAAUCGUCCAAAGAGCGCAAUGGUAUAAGUGGGCUUGACUGCGAGACGUACAUGUCGAGCAGGUGCGAAAGCAGGACAUAGUGAUCCGACGGAGAAAAAA
This 1422-nucleotide ribosomal RNA is filed under the name metagenome. RNAcentral's name for it is "bacterial LSU rRNA". It matches the Rfam family "Bacterial large subunit ribosomal RNA", at positions 998 to 2434 of the family's 2925-position model. The record is from RNAcentral.